This is a long non-coding RNA of Neopsephotus bourkii (Bourke's parrot), 449 nucleotides long. RefSeq lists it as uncharacterized. Lineage: Eukaryota; Metazoa; Chordata; Aves; Psittaciformes; Psittacidae. The transcript has 3 exons. The record is from RefSeq and is a predicted model, not a curated record.
AUCUGUGUUAUUACCUCUGACUUAGGAAGAGGGUCCUUCCAAAUCAUGUUUUCUCAGCAGGGUAUAAUAGGUCUGCAAGUCUUUCCAUGGAAAGCUGUGAGUACUAAAAGCUAAGCUGUGAAGCAGAAACUCUUCACAAAGUGGGUGGUUUAUAUUUUUUGUGUUAUCUGGUAUAUCAAAUUGGCUGGAACCUGAAAUGGUACCCUUAUGAAAUGUACCAAGAAACUGGUUCCUCCAGCUACUGGCAAGUGUUAUACUAUGAUGGCGCAGUGGCUGGGUUGGCAGCUUCCCAGUGCUGCAGGAAUUCUAUCUGGUGACCUUCACAUCACAAGUGAGUAAAAUUUGUGCACAAGCUCCAGCCAGUCAAGGAUUACAUUUAAAACGAAUGGAUAACACUUGUAAGGGUUCUGAUGGAAGAGAUGUUAAACUCAAUAAAAUAGAAGUCUGUG